Molecule: ribosomal RNA, 490 nt
Filed under: Clostridioides difficile
Lineage: Bacteria; Bacillati; Bacillota; Clostridia; Peptostreptococcales; Peptostreptococcaceae
Description: bacterial SSU rRNA
Rfam family: Bacterial small subunit ribosomal RNA
Source: RNAcentral
UUGUCGUCAGCUCGUGUCGUGAGAUGUUGGGUUAAGUCCCGCAACGAGCGCAACCCUUGUCUUUAGUUGCCAUCAUUAAGUUGGGCACUCUAGAGAGACUGCCAGGGAUAACCUGGAGGAAGGUGGGGAUGACGUCAAAUCAUCAUGCCCCUUAUGCUUAGGGCUACACACGUGCUACAAUGGGUAGUACAGAGGGUUGCCAAGCCGUAAGGGGGAGCUAAUCCCUUAAAGCUACUCUCAGUUCGGAUUGUAGGCUGAAACUCGCCUACAUGAAGCUGGAGUUACUAGUAAUCGCAGAUCAGAAUGCUGCGGUGAAUGCGUUCCCGGGUCUUGUACACACCGCCCGUCCCACCACGGGAGUUGGAGACGCCCGAAGCCGAUUAUCUAACCUUUUGGAAGAAGUCGUCGAAGGUGGAAUCAAUAACUGGGGUGAAGUCGUAACAAGGUAGCCGUAUCGGAAGGUGCGGCUGGAUCACCUCCUUUCUAAGGA